This 1029-nucleotide ribosomal RNA is filed under the name Curtobacterium flaccumfaciens. Its description in RNAcentral is "bacterial SSU rRNA". It matches the Rfam family "Bacterial small subunit ribosomal RNA", at positions 407 to 1442 of the family's 1533-position model. Lineage: Bacteria; Bacillati; Actinomycetota; Actinomycetes; Micrococcales; Microbacteriaceae. The record is from RNAcentral.
GAUGACGGCCUUCGGGUUGUAACCUCUUUUAGUAGGGAAGAAGGGAGCUUGCUCUUGACGGUACCUGCAGAAAAAGCACCGGCUAACUACGUGCCAGCAGCCGCGGUAAUACGUAGGGUGCAAGCGUUGUCCGGAAUUAUUGGGCGUAAAGAGCUCGUAGGCGGUUUGUCGCGUCUGCUGUGAAAUCCCGAGGCUCAACCUCGGGCUUGCAGUGGGUACGGGCAGACUAGAGUGCGGUAGGGGAGAUUGGAAUUCCUGGUGUAGCGGUGGAAUGCGCAGAUAUCAGGAGGAACACCGAUGGCGAAGGCAGAUCUCUGGGCCGUAACUGACGCUGAGGAGCGAAAGCAUGGGGAGCGAACAGGAUUAGAUACCCUGGUAGUCCAUGCCGUAAACGUUGGGCGCUAGAUGUAGGGACCUUUCCACGGUUUCUGUGUCGUAGCUAACGCAUUAAGCGCCCCGCCUGGGGAGUACGGCCGCAAGGCUAAAACUCAAAGGAAUUGACGGGGGCCCGCACAAGCGGCGGAGCAUGCGGAUUAAUUCGAUGCAACGCGAAGAACCUUACCAAGGCUUGACAUACACCGGAAACGGCCAGAGAUGGUCGCCCCCUUGUGGUCGGUGUACAGGUGGUGCAUGGUUGUCGUCAGCUCGUGUCGUGAGAUGUUGGGUUAAGUCCCGCAACGAGCGCAACCCUCGUUCUAUGUUGCCAGCGCGUUAUGGCGGGGACUCAUAGGAGACUGCCGGGGUCAACUCGGAGGAAGGUGGGGAUGACGUCAAAUCAUCAUGCCCCUUAUGUCUUGGGCUUCACGCAUGCUACAAUGGCCGGUACAAAGGGCUGCGAUACCGUAAGGUGGAGCGAAUCCCAAAAAGCCGGUCUCAGUUCGGAUUGAGGUCUGCAACUCGACCUCAUGAAGUCGGAGUCGCUAGUAAUCGCAGAUCAGCAACGCUGCGGUGAAUACGUUCCCGGGCCUUGUACACACCGCCCGUCAAGUCAUGAAAGUCGGUAACACCCGAAGCCGGUGGCCUAACCCU